UACCUGGUUGAUCCUGCCAGUAGUCAUAUGCUUGUCUCAAAGAUUAAGCCAUGCAUGUCUAAGUACAAGCCGAAUUAAGGUGAAACCGCGAAUGGCUCAUUAAAUCAGCUAUGAUUCAUUGGAUCUGUAGCCCACACUUACUUGGAUAACUGUGGUAAUUCUAGAGCUAAUACAUGCACCACGUCUCUGACCGCAAGGGAAGAGCGCUUUUAUUAGUUCAAAACCGGUCGGGCCUCGGUCCGCCAACCCCACCGUGUUGAAUCUGAAUAACUUGUGGCUGAGCGCACGGCCAAAUCCAGUGCCGGCGCCGCCUCUUUCAAGUGUCUGCCUUAUCAGCUUUCGAUUGUAGGCUAUGCGCCUACAAUGGCUAUAACGGGUAACGGGGAAUCAGGGUUCGAUUCCAGAGAGGGAGCCUGAGAAACGGCUACCACAUCUAAGGAAGGCAGCAGGCACGCAAAUUACCCACUCCCGGCAUGGGGAGGUAGUGACGAAAAAUAACGAUGCGAGACUCAUCCGAGGCCUCGCAAUCGGAAUGAGUACACUUUAAAUCCUUUAACGAGGACCCAUUGGAGAGCAAGUCUGGUGCCAGCAGCCGCGGUAAUUCCAGCUCCAAUAGCGUAUAUUAAAGUUGUUGCGGUUAAAAAGCUCGUAGUUGGAUUUCAGUUCUGGACUGACGGUUCACCGCCCGGUGCACACUGUCACGCUCCGAACAGCCAUAACGCAGCCCGUUGGCUCGCACGGGGUGCUCUUCACCGGGUGUCCCGCGUGGCCGGCAGAGUUUACUUUGAAAAAAAUUAGAGUGCUCAAAGCAGGCUACACUGAUGGCCUGAAUGCCUAUGCAUGGAAUAAUGCAAUAGGACCUCGGUUCUAUUUUGUCGGUUUUCUGAACCCGAGGUAAAGACUAAUAGGAACAGGCGGGGGCAUUCGUAUUGCGACGCUAGAGGUGAAAUUCUUGGAACGUCGCAAGACGAACUACUGCGAAAGCAUUUGCCAAGGAUGUUUUCAUUAAUCAAGAACGAAAGUUGGAGGUUCGAAGGCGAUCAGAUACCGCCCUAGUUCUAACCAUAAACGAUGCUGACCAGCGAUCCGCCGGUGUUAUUCCCAUGACCCGGCGGGCAGCUUCCGGGAAACCAAACUCUUUGGGUUCCGGGGGAAGUAUGGUUGCAAAGCUGAAACUUAAAGGAAUUGACGGAAGGGCACCACCAGGAGUGGAGCCUGCGGCUUAAUUUGACUCAACACGGGGAACCUCACCAGGCCCAGACACAGAGAAGGAUUGACAGAUUGAGAGCUCUUUGUCGAUUCGGUGGGUGGUGGUGCAUGGCCGUUCUUAGUUGGUGGAGCGAUUUGUCUGGUUAAUUCUGAUAACGAACGAGACUCUGGCCUACUAACUAGUCGACGGAUCUCCAGCAAUUGGUGUCCAGUUCGCAGCUUCUUCUUAGAGGGAUAAGCAGCAAUUCUAGCCGCACGAGAUUAAGCAAUAACAGGUCUGUGAUGCCCUUAGAUGUUCUGGGCCGCACGCGCAUUACACUGAAGGGAUCAACGUGUCCUCCCCCUCCGAGAGGAGCGGGUAACCCGUUGAAAUCCUUUCAUGAUAGGGAUUGGGGUUUGCAAUUGUCUCCCAUGAACGAGGAAUUCCUAGUAAGCGCAAGUCAUGAGCUUGCGUUGAUUACGUCCCUUCAAUUUGUACACACCGCCCGUCGCUACUACCGAUUGAAUGAUUUAGUGAGGCCUUCGGACUGGCGCUCUUGGAUGCCGGGCCUGCGUCGCGGUCAGUUCUGCUGCCGCCGCUGGGCUCUUUCGGCGCCUCGAGCUGACGGAAAGAUGUCCAAACUUGAUCAUUUAGAGGAAGUAAAUGUCGUAACAAGGUUUCCGUAGGUGAACCUGCGGAAAGAUCAUUA
This is a ribosomal RNA of Scylla paramamosain (green mud crab), 1898 nucleotides long. The record is from RefSeq and is a predicted model, not a curated record. NCBI's taxonomy places the organism in Eukaryota, Metazoa, Arthropoda, Malacostraca, Decapoda, Portunidae.